UUUAAAGCAAUUAAGGGCGUAUGGUGGAUGCCUUGGGUCUGAGAGGCGAUGAAGGACGUGGUAAGCUGCGAUAAGCUUCGGGGAGCUGCACACAAGCGUUAUAUCCGAAGAUUUCCGAAUGGGACAACCUAAUACUUUGAAGAAGUAUUAUUUCUACGUAAGUAGAUAAGCCAACCUCCUGAACUGAAACAUCUAAGUAGGGAGAGGAAAAGAAAAUAAUAAUGAUUCCCUGAGUAGUGGCGAGCGAAACGGGAAUAGCCCAAACCAUGGCGGCGUGCUGCUAUGGGGUUGUAGGGCCGCAUUUAGAAAUUAAUAUCAAACUGAACCUUCUGGAAAGUUGGGCCAUAGCGGGUGAUAGCCCCGUAAGUACAAAUUAUUAGUAACGAGCGGUACCCUGAGUAAGGCGGGACCGGAGAAAUCCUGCCUGAAUCUACCGGCACCAUCCGGUAAGGCUAAAUACUCCUCAGACACCGAUAGUGAACCAGUACCGUAAGGGAAAGGUGAAAAGCACCCUAAACAAGGGAGUGAAAUAGUACCUGAAACCGUACGCUUACAAGCGGUCGGAGUCUCUACUCACGUGGAGAUGACGGCGUGCCUUUUGCAUAAUGAGCCUACGAGUUACUCCUCACUGGCGAGGUUAAGCUCUUUAGUAGCGGAGCCGUAGCGAAAGCAAGUCCAAAUAGGGCGAUUAGUCAGUGGGGGUAGACGCGAAACUUUGUGAUCUAUCCAUGGGCAGGUUGAAGGUGUGGUAACACACACUGGAGGACCGAACGCGUAAACGUUGAAAAGUUUUGCGAUGACCUGUGGAUAGGGGUGAAAGGCCAAUCAAACUGAGAGAUAGCUCGUUCUCCCCGAAAUGUUUUUAGGAACAGCCUCGGAUUAUAGACGUUUAGUACAGGUAGAGCUACUGAUUGGACUAGGGGGCUUCACCGCCUACCAAAUCCUGACAAACUCCGAAUGGUACUAAAUAUCUCCGGGAGUGAGGCUGCGGGCGAUAAGGUCCGUGGCCGAGAGGGAAAUAACCCAGAUUAGCGACUAAGGUCCCCAAUACAUGGUUAAGUUAAACAAACGAGGUGGGAUUUCUAUAACAGCCAGGAUGUUGGCUUGGAAGCAGCCACUCAUUUAAAGAGUGCGUAACAGCUCACUGGUCGAGAGAUCCUGCACGGAAAAUAAUCGGGUAUCAAACCAUGAACCGAAGUUCUAAGAUUGCUACUAAGUAGUAUAUCGGUAGGGGAGCAUUGAAAUCGGCUGCGAAGGCGACUGGCGAUGGUUGCUGGAGCGAUUUCAAAAGAAAAUGUAGGCAUAAGUAACGAUAAUUAAAGUGAAAAACUUUAACGCCGUAAACCCAAGGUUUCCUGAUCAAUGUUAAUCAGAUCAGGGUUAGUCGGGUCCUUAGACAAACCCGAAAGGGGUAGUUGAUGGAAAGUUGGUUAAUAUUCCAACACCUGCUUUAGAUUCGAUGGGGUGACGGGGUAGUGAAAAGUCCGCGUUCUUACGGAAUAGAACGUUAAAGGGUGUAGAUAUAGGUUGAGUAGGCAAAUCCGCUCGACUUGUCGAACCUGAUAGUACUGCAAAGUUUCGGCAGCGCAGAUAGUGACUCUAAUCAAACCUCCGAGAAAAACCUCUAAGUUAUGUUUAAAGCAGCCCGUACCGUAAACCGACACAGGUGGGUGAGAUGAAUAUUCUAAGGCGCUCGGGUGAGCCUUGGAGAAGGAACUAGGCAAAUUAACGCUGUAACUUCGGGAUAAAGCGUACCUACUUCGGUAGGUCUCAGUAAAAUGGUACAACCAACUGUUUAGCAAAAACACAGGGCCCUGCAAAAUCGUAAGAUGACGUAUAGAGCCUGAUACCUGCCCGGUGCUGGAAGGUUAAGGAAGGGUGUUCGUAGCAAUACAAAGCUCCUGACUGAAGCCCCAGUAAACGGCGGCCGUAACUAUAACGGUCCUAAGGUAGCGAAAUUCCUUGUCGGGUAAGUUCCGACCUGCACGAAUGGUCUAAUGAGUUGUACACUGUCUCCUCCAA
This 2022-nucleotide ribosomal RNA is filed under the name Ferruginibacter sp. Its description in RNAcentral is "partial 23S ribosomal RNA". It matches the Rfam family "Bacterial large subunit ribosomal RNA", at positions 1 to 2028 of the family's 2925-position model. The record is from RNAcentral. Lineage: Bacteria; Pseudomonadati; Bacteroidota; Chitinophagia; Chitinophagales; Chitinophagaceae.